This is an RNA transcript of Diospyros lotus (date-plum), 8082 nucleotides long. It is a transcript of the gene named ubiquitin-like modifier-activating enzyme 5, with no coding region annotated. The record is from RefSeq and is a predicted model, not a curated record. The transcript is spliced from 15 exons. Lineage: Eukaryota; Viridiplantae; Streptophyta; Magnoliopsida; Ericales; Ebenaceae.
AAAAGGCAUAGUAAAACUAGCCCUAAAGGUCGUUCCCCUCCAGGGAACUAUUUUCCUUCGACUGGUUCCCCUGAAAUACCCUUCCGGAGUAUCAAAUUCUUACGGCCAGACGGAGAAAAUAGCAGCGGCGAUGGAGGCUGAGCUGAAAGAGAUGUUAAGCGAUCUCGAAGCUCUCGAACGGUCGUUGCCUGAUCCUUCUCAUCGCUCGUCGAUCGACAAGAUGCGAUUGCACCUAGAACAUCUCACUGAUCUUGCAAAGUCUGCACCUAUUCGGCGAUCAAAAGUCAAGGCUAUGAGUGCUGAGGUGGUAGAUAGCAAUCCUUACAGCAGGCUUAUGGCACUUCAGAGGAUGGGUAUUGUGGAGAAUUAUGAAAGAAUACGAGAAUUCUCUGUUGCCAUAGUUGGAAUAGGAGGUGUAGGCAGUGUUGCAGCUGAGAUGCUAACAAGGUGUGGCAUUGGCCGCCUUUUGUUGUAUGAUUAUGACACAGUGGAGUUGGCAAACAUGAAUAGGCUAUUCUUUCGUCCAGAGCAGGUUGGUAUGACAAAGACUGAUGCUGCUGUUCAGACCCUUUCAGAAAUCAAUCCUGAUGUGGUGCUUGAGAGCUAUACAUUGAACAUCACAACACUGCAAGGUUUUGAGACUUUUAUGUCAAGCCUUCGAAACAAAAGCUUCUGCCCGAGCAAGGAAGGUAGUGGCGUGGAUCUUGUACUAAGCUGCGUAGAUAAUUAUGAAGCAAGGAUGGUUGUAAAUCAGGCUUGCAACGAAUUGAAUCAAACAUGGAUGGAGUCUGGUGUAUCUGAGGAUGCUGUUUCAGGUCAUAUACAACUGCUAAUUCCUGGAGAAACUGCCUGUUUUGCAUGUGUACCACCUUUGGUUGUAGCAUCUGGAGUAGAUGAACGGACACUUAAGCGUGAAGGGGUUUGUGCUGCAUCCUUACCUACUACCAUGGGGGUUGUUGCUGGGCUUUUAGUUCAAAACACACUCAAGUAUUUGCUGAAGUUUGGACGUGUUUCACCUUACCUGGGAUAUAAUGCUCUCAGAGACUAUUUCCCAACAAUGGAAAUGAAGCCAAACCUUCAAUGUUCCAAUGCAGCUUGUCUAGAACGGCAGAAAGAAUAUAAUCUUGCAAAGCCAGUGAGGGAUGCUGCAGCUAAAGCAAAGGCAGAAGUAGCACCGGCAACAGAGUGCCCAGUUCAUGCUGACAAUGAAUGGAACAUAAGUGUUGUUGAUGAUAACAAGCCAGUUAAAGCACAUGCCAGAAGUUCAGCUAAAAUAGUGAGCACAACCUUUAUCUGGGGAAAGAAUAAGCGGAGGGUGAGGAUGUCAGUGCCCCCAAGAAGGGGAAAGCUCCCCUUGACCCCUCUCCCGUUGGGGAAGGGGAGUCUAACCGACUUUCUAGGAGGAAGAAGACUUCUCAACCCUCGAGACAACUGACUGGAGCACCCAAUUCUCCCCCAUAUUGUCCAGACCACGUUCCUAACUAGGGAGUGAAGGAAAAUGAUCUCAGUCGGAACAUCCAAGUAGCGAGACGAAUGAUUCACCACUUUGCAACUCCUGCUGACCGUUAAGUACUAGCUAAACAUUCCUCGGAGGCAGUGGAGACCGCCUUGUGUAAGCAUCUAGCCCAGGUGGUCACGUUUGUCUCAAACGUCUCUGGACGCUUUGCCCAGGCUUCUAAGAAGACCCUUGAACUAAACACUCAAUUACACGAGAGGGACGAGAUAGUAGAAAGUCAGAGGAAGGACUUAGAGAAGUUGACCUCCGAGCGACAGUCUUUGGGCCAACGCAUUCAGGAGCUUGAGGAGGAGCUAUCCCAGGCAAACUUCCUCAAUCGUAGAUACGAACGCAAGUAUGCCGAGCCCACCAAACUUCCUGAGGUGGAGGAGUUCAUCCAGCAGAACCUACAAGAGGCUUGGAGGAAGGGAUUCCAAGCCCAUGCUAUCGAGGUUUUACGAGUACAUCCGGAGUUGGACAUGUCCAAUGUUCGAUCCAUUGAAGAGAUUGUGGCCGAGUUAGAGGAGGACUCGGAGAUGGCGGACGAUGAAAACACUUAUCUUGAUGCUUGAGUUUUUUUUUCAUUUUCUAGUUAGAACUUUUUGUAUUUCCUUCGACAUCAUGUAUUGGAGUACUCGUUUUUUUAUAAUGCAAUUCUACUUUGACUCUUCACUUCUUGAUUGCGAAUAUACGAGCUAGGACUAGUUGAAUCCUGAUCCUUUGCACAGUAAGGGGGAAUUAGUUCGACCUUUGGUCCUCUUUUAGUUAACAGAUUAAAGGGGAUGGUUUAGGGCUCUUAACUCUUGAAUUUUAGCCGCUCCCUUAUGGAGGAGGGUGUUAGACUCUGAGGUUUUUUUUCAGCCGUUAGUCCACCAUGACUUGGGGACGACCUAGGGCUCUUGACCCUUGAAUUUUAGUCACUCCCUCACUGAGAAGGGUGUUGGGCUCUGAGUUUUUUCGGGCCAUUAGUCCACCUUGACUUGGGGAUGGCCUAGAGCUCUUGGUCCUUGGAUUUUAGCCACUCUCUCGCGGAUGAGGGUGUUAGGCUCUAAGUUUUUUCAGGCCAUUAGUCCACCCUGACUUGGGGACAACCUAGGGCUCUUGACUCUUGGAUUUUAGACAUUCCCUAGCGGAGGAGGGUGUUGAGCUUUGCGUUUUUUCGGGCCAUUAGUCCACCCUAACUUGAGGACAGCCUAGGGCUCUUGACCCUUGAAUUUUUCUUUGGCUAAUUGUUAACCUUUGUGAGAUUAUUAUUGGAUGGAGAGAAUCCGAAGUCUUGCCAUUAGUCGUAAAAAGAGUACAAAAAGGUUCGGGGCAUUCCCCUUCUUAUUGAUAAAACUUCCUUAAGUUUUGCACAUUUUAGAUAUGCUUCAAGAGCUUGCCUUCCAUAUCUUCUAGUCGAUAUGCCCCCAGACUUAACGAUUCCACCACCUGGUACGGUCCUUUUCAAUUCAGGGUUAGCUUAUUCGCGUCUUGAGGAUGACUCACGUCAAACCGUCGCAGCACAAGAUCUCCUGGCAUGAAACUCCUGACGUGCACUCGUCAGUUGUAGUACCUAGCAAUGCGCUAGUUAUAUGCAGCUUGUUGAAUCCACGCCAGAUCUCGGAGUUCAUCCAUCAAGUCUAAGUUGCACCUUAGCCCUUGCUUGUUCACCUCAGGAUCGAAAUGCUCCACUCGGUAGCUAGUUACCCUGAUCUCGACAAGAAUAAGAGCCUCCGAGCUAUAACACAAUGUAAAAGGGCAUUCUCCUGUAGCUGUUCGUAGUGUGGUUCGAUAGAACCAUAGUAUGUUGGGGGGAAGCUCAUUUACCCAUCAGUUGUCCGCUUUCUCAACCCGAGCUCAAAGUCUCUAAAGAAUGGUCAUGUUUAUCAGCUCUACUUGCCCAUUAGCUUGAGAAUGGGCCACUUAGGUAAAAUGUUGUUUAAUCCCCAACUUGCGACACCAUUCUUGCAUUGAUCGAUUCUCGAAUUGGGUGCCAUUAUCCAUUAUUAGCACCCUAGGAAUACCGAACUGGCAGACGAUGGAUUUCCAGAGAAAUUGCUUUACCCUCCGGCCAGUGAUAAUCGCCACAAGCUCGGCCUCCACCCACUUAGUAAAGUAGUCAAUGAUUGCUAUCAAGUAUUUGUUAUGUCUGGCUUCUAGUGAGAAGGGUUCGAGGAUAUCAACUCCCCACUUGACAAAUGGACAAGGCGACGCCAGGUGGGCAAGUUCGAUCGCCGGGGUGUGAACUAGGUUUGAAGUCCUUUGGCAUCUCUCACAAGUCUGGACUAGUUGCACAACAUCGCUUAUCAUUGUUGGCUAGUAAUACCCUUGCUGAAGUGCUUUAUGGGAAAGAGACUGAGCUCCAAUAUAACUGCCACAAAUUCUCUCGUGUAUCUCUCUCAGGAUGUAGUAGGCCUCGGCAGGUUCAACACAUCUCAGCAGUGGCUGGGUGAAGGACUUCUUGUAGAGGUCCGGGCCAACCAGUAGGAACUUGGUAGCCUGACCCUUGAGUUUUCAGCUCUCUUGUUCCUCCUCUAGUAGCCAUCCCUUGAUUAGAUGUGCUAUGAUAGGAUCCAUCCAACUUUCUACCUUGUCCAAGCAAAGUUGUUCUGCUUCUGUCUCUAUGCUUCUCUCAGGUAGUGACUCCAUGUAGAUAACCUGAGAAUUCUUGGGGAAGGAAGAAACAAUUAUCCUUAAGAGAGCAUCCGCCACGACAUUCUAUGCUCGUAGGACAUGGUUGAUUUUCACUACUCGAAAUCGUGCCAUAAGAUCCUUGGUUAUCGCCAAGUACUGGGCCAUAACUUCCUCUCGGGCCUCGAACUCUCUUGUUACCUGUUGUUCAAUCAAAUUCGAGUCAGAAUAUACCUCUAGAUCCCUAACUCCCAUCUGCUCUGCUAGUCUGAGUUUGGCAAUAAGCGCCUCGUACUUAGCCUCAUUAUUAGAGGCAUUGAACUUGAAGUGGAGGGCAUACGGCCAAGCCUGGCCAUCGGGGCCCUGGAGCAACAAUCUAGCACCAUUGCCCCAAAUGCUAGAGCUUCCAUCCACAGAGAGAGUCCAGGUCUAGGAAACCCUUUCAUCUUCAUCCUCCGGUAGAGUGCCUUCAACUAUGAAGUUCGUGAGAGCCUGUGUCUUAAUGGUUGGUCAAGGAUGAUAGUUGAUGUCGAAAGCACUUAGCUCUUCCGCCCAUUUGAGCAUCCUCCCAGACAAGUCUGACUUUCCCAACACAUGCCUUAACGGCUGACUAGAUAGGACAAUAAUGUGGUGUGCCUCAAAGUAGGGUCUUAGCUUUCGAGCAGAGAUGAUUAGGGCAUAGGCCAACUUCUCUAUCGGAGUGUAGCGAAUCUCAGCCUCAACCAACCUCUUGCUCACAUAGUAGACCGACUGCUGAACUUUGUCCUCUUCUCGCACCAGAACUAAAUUGACAGCUUCGUUUGAAGUAGCCAGAUAAAUAUAUAGUGACUCCCCUAGCUGUGGCUUAGCCAGGACUAGGGGGAGACUAGAUACCGCUUUAGCUGCUCAAACGCCUCUUGGCAUUCUUCUGUCCAUGCGAAAUUCUGGACUUGAGUCGAGGCCUUAAAAAAUGGUAAUCUCUUUUCUGCGGACCUUGAUAAGAAUCUCCCCAAUGUUGCCAUCCUUCCAGUUAAUCUCUGCACCUCCUUGAUACUUCGAGCAGGAGGCAUCUCCAGGAUGGCUUUUAUCUUCGAGAGGUUGGCCUCAAUUCCUCAGUAGUGCACCAUGAACCCUAAGAACUUAUCAGUCGUAACCCCGAAUGCACACUUGGCUGGGUUGAGCUUCAUCUGGUACUGACGUAAGGUCUGAAAGCACUCCUCCAAGUCAUUUGGAUGUUGCUAAGCCAAGAGACUCUUAACCAACAUAUCAUCCACAUAAGCCUCCAUGUUUCGACUGAACUGAGCUUUAAACAACUUGUUGACCAACCUCUAAUACAUAACUUCGGCGUUCUUAAGCUCGAAGGGCAUAACUCGGUAACAAAAGGUGGCCUUGUCUAUAAUAAAAGCAGUCUUUUCCUAGUCAUUAGGGUGCGGUGGAAUUUGCCCUAGAAUGCAUCAAAGAAACUCAUCAAUUGGCACCCCGUUGUUUUGUCUAUCAACGCAUUAAUUUUGGGUAAAGGGUAACUAUUCUUCGGAUAGGCUUUGUUGAGAUCCUUAAAAUCAAUAUAGAGCCUCCAUUUUUCCAACCCCUUGGAGACGAGAACAAUGUUAGCUAGCCACUCUGGAUAGUCAACCUCCGGACGUGAUUGGCCUCGAUAAGUUUUUCUACCUCAGCCUUUAUAGCUUUAGGCCCACUUCGAGACAAACUUCCUCUUCAUUUGCCUUACCGGCACACAAUCUGGGUAGAGCCUCAAAUGAUGGGUCAUGAUAGUCAAGUCUAUUCCAGGCAUGUCUAGUGUACCAUGCAAACACAUUGCGAUACCUUCGUAAGAGUGAUAGGACUUCAGAUCGCAAUGGCUCAUGUAACUUAUAACUGAUCUGCACUUUCUGAUCAGACUCUUCCCUUAACGAAACUUCCUUUAGCUCAUCCACUGGCUCUGAGGUCUUUGGCUCCUCCGGACCCUCCAAGAUGAAACUGGUGAACACGCUAGGAGGGGCACUAGAACUCUGCCCCACCCCCCUCAGUGGCCUUUGUUCUGCUCCUAUAUUUGGGGCCCUUGCCUAUUCUAACUCUAUCUGGCCUUAACCGACUUGAGGAAAAGCAUCUUGAUUCGACCUUGAGUUUGACUCUGACCCCUUUGCAAUAGUAGCAGUCAAGAAAGUCACAUAGCAUUCCUUUGCUUGCCAUUGGUCUCCUCUUACCUUGCCAAUCCUGCCUGGAAUAGGAAAUUUCAACACCAUGUGAUACGUGCUCGGUGCCGCCCUCAGAGCAUUAAGCCCAGACCUACCAAGGAUCAUAUUGUAUGUUGAGGACACAUCAGGAACCAAGAAGUCCAGCGUUACUUGGGACUUGCGAGAGCCACUAUCGACCCUCAGGGGCAUCCAGAUCAGCCCCUCUGAAUGUAUCACCAUUCCAUCAAAACCAACCAACGAGAGUCGAAUUGGCCUUAGCUGAUCAAGCGUAAACUCCAUUCCCAGGAACACCUUUUGUAGAGAAUCUCCGAAGAACUGUCAGGGUGCACAAGGAUUUGCCUUAUCUCCCUUUCCUACUUGAGCAGUGAUCACCAGAAGGUCUGAGUAGUUGGGAUGGCUUGAAAGAUCCUCCUCGAAGAAAGUGAUGAUCACCUUAUCCUUUAUCGCAUUAUUGGGAGUGGUGGAGUUUAACCUAUUCUCGACCCCCAACCAAUUAUCUUGAGGCUCGAGAACUGUUCCCGCUGCCAAUGUGUACAAAAUAAACUUCUGUCCUAGCUCUUCGGCAGGUUGUUUUCCCUCUCUUCAGGGCGGUGUCCGAGUUCGCUCUCGGAAGUGAUCACGAGUAGGGGACCUUCCCCUAUUCUUCGGCUUGGACUCUACUUUGCCCGAGCUCACACCUCCUCGACCAAUGAAAUUAUGGAGGUAACCCCGGUUGAUAAGCUCCUUAAUCUCUUCUUUUAACUGGAUGUAGUCAUUUGUAUCAUGGUCGUGGUCGCGGUAGAAUUGGCAAUAUUUCUUUUUGCUUCGAGUGUUAGGCGAAGAUUUCAGCGGGGGAGGAUGCUGUAGAUAAUCCUUAUCCUCCAAUGCCAGUAGAAUUUCUACUCGACUUGCGUUGAGGGGAAUAUAACUCACCGAGUUUCCACGGGCACCCUGAAAACCCAGACGAUCUCGGGUUCGGGAGGGGCGAUAGUCAAUCUUUUGUUCUACCAUUGGCCUUUUCUUCUCUUUCUCUCCUUCCUUCCUGUCAGGCUGUUUAGCCUGCUUCACCUUCAUCAUUUCUUCAACGUUGAUGUACUUGUUAGCCCGGGCAAAGACUUCUGUGAAGGUAUGAGGUGGAGUCUUGGCCAAUGACUGAAUGAAUGACCCAGCCCUCAAGCCAUUCUGGAGAGCCACCAUUGUAAUCCACUGAUCAAACUCAUCGAUGCUCAAAGCCUCAUUAAACCUAGCCACAAAAUCCCUUAGGGACUCACCUUAGUUUUGCUUAACGUUAACCAAAGCCAUAAAAACUUCCGGUGACGCUUCAAGGGAGUAUAAUGGGCUAGAAAACAUGUCUUUAAUUCUUCCCAGUUGUUGAUAGAACGAUGGGGAAUGCAAGAAUACCACGUCCAGGCAUGACCUCCCAAAGUAACCGAAAAGGCUCGUCAUCACAUCUCGUCUGACCCCGAUUGCACUAGCAUGUGAAAAGAGAAGAGCUCUACAUAACAUAGGGGUCUGUGUUUCUGUCAUAGAGCUUGAUGGACGGGAUACAAAAUCGCUCCGGAGGAACCUUUGCCAUGAAGUUCUUACUCAAGGGUUGGUUAAAACCGAAGUGGGGCAGCUUCUCCUUCCCUUCUUGAGCUCCUGGACCUACCGCUCCAGAAAACGCAACCGCUUCUCCUGCGAGAUCCUUCCUUAUCGCGAGGGAGAAGAAGUGGAUCUUGCUACUUCAGAGGGAUGGAUUUCCUGAUCUGACUGGUGGGAUGGACAAAGCUCCCUAGUAGGAGGAGAUGACUGGUGCUCCUCCCGAUGAGAGGGCACCUAUAG